Molecule: ribosomal RNA, 1531 nt
Filed under: Listeria monocytogenes
Lineage: Bacteria; Bacillati; Bacillota; Bacilli; Caryophanales; Listeriaceae
Description: partial 23S ribosomal RNA
Rfam family: Bacterial large subunit ribosomal RNA
Source: RNAcentral
AAAGGGCGCACGGUGGAUGCCUUGGCACUAGGAGCCGAAGAAGGACGGGACUAACACCGAUAUGCUUUGGGGAGCUGUACGUAAGCGUUGAUCCAGAGAUUUCCGAAUGGGGGAACCCACUAUCUUUAGUCGGAUAGUAUCCUUACGUGAAUACAUAGCGUAAGGAAGGCAGACCCAGGGAACUGAAACAUCUAAGUACCUGGAGGAAGAGAAAGAAAAAUCGAUUUCCUGAGUAGCGGCGAGCGAAACGGAAAGAGCCCAAACCAAGAAGCUUGCUUCUUGGGGUUGUAGGACACUCUAUACGGAGUUACAAAAGAAAGUUAUAAAUGAAGCGGUCUGGAAAGGCCCGCCAAAGACGGUAACAGCCCGGUAGUUGAAAUGGCUUUCCCUCCAGAGUGGAUCCUGAGUACGGCGGAACACGUGAAAUUCCGUCGGAAUCCGGGAGGACCAUCUCCCAAGGCUAAAUACUCCCUAGUGACCGAUAGUGAACCAGUACCGUGAGGGAAAGGUGAAAAGCACCCCGGAAGGGGAGUGAAACAGUUCCUGAAACCGUGUGCCUACAAGUAGUUAGAGCCCGUUAAUGGGUGAUAGCGUGCCUUUUGUAGAAUGAACCGGCGAGUUACGAUUUGUUGCAAGGUUAAGCGGAAAAAGCGGAGCCGUAGCGAAAGCGAGUCUGAAUAGGGCGCAUAAGUAACAGGUCGUAGACCCGAAACCAGGUGAUCUACCCAUGUCCAGGAUGAAGGUAAGGUAAUACUUACUGGAGGUCCGAACCCACGCACGUUGAAAAGUGCGGGGAUGAGGUGUGGGUAGCGGAGAAAUUCCAAUCGAACUUGGAGAUAGCUGGUUCUCUCCGAAAUAGCUUUAGGGCUAGCCUCGAGGUAAAGAGUCAUGGAGGUAGAGCACUGUUUGGACUAGGGGCCCUUCUCGGGUUACCGAAUUCAGAUAAACUCCGAAUGCCAUGUACUUAUACUCGGGAGUCAGACUGCGAGUGAUAAGAUCCGUAGUCGAAAGGGAAACAGCCCAGACCACCAGUUAAGGUCCCCAAAUAUAUGUUAAGUGGAAAAGGAUGUGGGGUUGCUUAGACAACCAGGAUGUUGGCUUAGAAGCAGCCACCAUUGAAAGAGUGCGUAAUAGCUCACUGGUCGAGUGACCCCGCGCCGAAAAUGUACCGGGGCUAAACAUAUUACCGAAACUGUGGAUGAACCUCUUCGGAGGUUCGUGGUAGGAGAGCGUUCUAAGGGCGGUGAAGUCAGACCGGAAGGACUGGUGGAGCGCUUAGAAGUGAGAAUGCCGGUAUGAGUAGCGAAAGAAGGGUGAGAAUCCCUUCCACCGAAUAUCUAAGGUUUCCUGAGGAAGGCUCGUCCGCUCAGGGUUAGUCGGGACCUAAGCCGAGGCCGAUAGGCGUAGGCGAUGGACAACAGGUAGAGAUUCCUGUACCAGUGCUAAUUGUUUAACCGAUGGGGUGACACAGAAGGAUAGGGAAUCGCACGAAUGGAAAUGUGCGUCCAAGCAGUGAGUGUGAGAAGUAGGC